CUGAGGAUCCACGAGGGCAUGUGGCACCAGCUGGUUGGUGAAACCCAGGAGGACGUCGACUUGGUGUUCGGCGAAAUGGUGGCGUGGCUUCGUACGCGAGCUGAACGCGCCUCCGCCGCCGCCGCCGCCGUCGCGAACGGUGGCGCUGCCUAGGCUAGUCUAUAGGGGUUAGUAAGGUUUUAGUGAUGUGAUCACUGUGUUAAGUUAAACUUAGUUGGAACAGAGAAGGAAGAAGUAGCAUAAGCAGCCAAUGGAAGCAUGCCAUGUCACUUGAAGUUUAAAUAAAAAUUAUUAAUUCAUAUAGAAUUAAUAUGAUAAAACAAAUAUGUGUGACAUUCUUAAAUUGUUCAACCACCCACCCUUAUGAUUCAUACCAAAAAAUAAAUAAAAAUAAAAAUAAUGCAAUUUUCCAAACUUAAAGAUUAUGAAUAUGAGGAUAAAAAUUGAAGAGAAUGAAAAUGGUACCUUAGAAUAGGUCAUCAUAUCAUACAACAAAUAACCCACAUUUCUUGGGCAAUUAUGAGAAAAUAGAGAUUG
Molecule: long non-coding RNA, 537 nt
Filed under: Prunus persica (peach)
Lineage: Eukaryota; Viridiplantae; Streptophyta; Magnoliopsida; Rosales; Rosaceae
Description: long non-coding RNA (PPER_LNC002786)
Source: RNAcentral